UCCUCAUCACCUAAAGAUACCAUUACUUCUUCAUUUCCUAUAUGACUUUUACUAGCAAAGGCGACCGUGGUGCAGCACAAGUCUGUAGAAAUUGCUUUAUCAGUGUUAUCACAACAAGAAAGACAAUUAUCCCCUCUGUUCUCAGCCUCAUUGCUGCAUAGCACGAUGUUAUUAGUUUCAUCCUCCACUGAAGAAGGAUUAGAAAGGUUGCUGCAAUUUGUUGGUGGACUUUGACUUCUUUCAACUUCUAAACUUUUCAUGUUCAGAUUAGAUAGUUCAUUUUCAGCUUUACUGGAGCAGAAUUGAACUUCAAACAUUCCCAGUUCUUUCUUGCUAUCAAGGGAAACAAUCUUGAGAACAUAAUCUGUAGCUGGCAUCAGAUCUGAGAGCACAAACCUAGUGUUUGGGGAAAACAAUGUUCGAGUUGGUUCUACUGGAUAUUCCGUUUCAACAGCUUUCCGAUGCCACAAGGAGUAACCAACAACAUUCUCCAUAGAUGACCCUUCAGAACUCAAAACAACGGUCACAGAUG
Molecule: unclassified non-coding RNA, 532 nt
Filed under: Hevea brasiliensis (rubber tree)
Lineage: Eukaryota; Viridiplantae; Streptophyta; Magnoliopsida; Malpighiales; Euphorbiaceae
Source: RNAcentral